RNAcentral lists this ribosomal RNA (253 nucleotides) under uncultured bacterium. RNAcentral describes it as "partial 16S ribosomal RNA". It matches the Rfam family "Bacterial small subunit ribosomal RNA", at positions 524 to 776 of the family's 1533-position model. The record is from RNAcentral.
UACGUAGGGGGCAAGCGUUGUCCGGAAUUAUUGGGCGUAAGGAGCGUGUAGGCGGCCAGAUAAGUCCGCUGUGAAAUCUCGAGGCUCAACUUCGAGCUGUCGGUGGAAACUAUCUGGCUAGAGUCCGGAAGAGGAGAAUGGAAUUCCUGGUGUAGCGGUGAAAUGCGCAGAUAUCAGGAAGAACACCCGUGGCGAAGGCGGUUCUCUGGGACGGUACUGACGCUGAGACGCGAAAGCGUGGGGAGCGAACAGG